This is a long non-coding RNA of Hippocampus comes (tiger tail seahorse), 1015 nucleotides long. RefSeq lists it as uncharacterized. The transcript is spliced from 2 exons. The record is from RefSeq and is a predicted model, not a curated record. Lineage: Eukaryota; Metazoa; Chordata; Actinopteri; Syngnathiformes; Syngnathidae.
AAAAACAGGAAAUUCAAUUAUUGACCACGUGCAUGGCGAAGGCGUGCAAAAACAAGAGAGAUGCAUCACUGAUACUUCAAGGAAAUGAAGGCAGUCCGUCUGGCAGGCCUGCGUGUGAUUUUUAUAGUGGGAGGGGGAAAAAAAAAAAACCUAAAUUGUUGUUUACGUGCGGCCAUUCAAAAGGCAACGGACCGUUUUGAUUAACUUAAACAAAAACGGCCACCAAACACGUCACUGCAAGGCCAGUGGAACCGUCUGGGUGCUUUAAAAAAAAAAAGUAGUGUUUGGGUUUUGAAGUAGGGUUAGGGUUUCAAUUUACAGUACAGCAGCGGUAAGCAACAGAAUGUCUGAGCUCGGUUUUCAAAAUAAGGUCCAAAGUAAGUCGGGUUUUAAACAAGAGUUAAUAUUUCAAAUUAGGAUUUGAAACUAGGGUUAGGGGUUUUAUGGUAGGGUUUUAAAGUAGGGUUGGGGUUUCAAAUUAGGGGUUAGGGUUUCAAAUUGGGGUUAAAACAAGGAUUAGGCUUUUCAAGUCAAUUUAGGGUUUCCAAUGAGCAUUAGGGUUUUCAAGCAGGUUUACGGUUUCAAACUUGGGUUCGGGUUUUCCCGAUUCAGCACGCGCAAGCUUUCCCCGACCAAUCAGCGGCGGCGCUCUGAAGUCGACUCGUAUCUCUUCCCUCAGGUGAGCCGACGACACCUGCAACGUGUUGGGAGUCGGCUGCUCUCUCUACUUUGCGAUUGAGCCGUUAAGAAACUGUCACCGCGUCUGUCUUCGCCCCUUUUCGCCCCGGGAGCCAAAUUCCUCCACGUUUGGCAGCUCUUCGCUCUCACAUGCUGUUUGGCGCAUGUGAUGCGUGUGAUGUGGAGUGUCAGUCCAGAUGUCAUCGCGUGGAUCUGAGCUUCAACAGGCAUGCUGCUAAAUACCUCUCCGGGUGAAGAAAUAUUCUCUCAGUCACCAAUUCAUUAGUGACGUUUUUUUUUUGUUUUUUUUUUAAAUAAACAGAGCUCCCACCCCCCC